AGACCCGAAACCCGGUGAUCUAGCCAUGGGCAGGUUGAAGGUUGGGUAACACUAACUGGAGGACCGAACCGACUAAUGUUGAAAAAUUAGCGGAUGACCUGUGGCUGGGGGUGAAAGGCCAAUCAAACCGGGAGAUAGCUGGUUCUCCCCGAAAGCUAUUUAGGUAGCGCCUCGUGAAUUCAUCUCCGGGGGUAGAGCACUGUUUCGGCUAGGGGGCCAUCCCGGCUUACCAACCCGAUGCAAACUGCGAAUACCGGAGAAUGUUAUCACGGGAGACACACGGCGGGUGCUAACGUCCGUCGUGAAGAGGGAAACAACCCAGACCGCCAGCUAAGGUCCCAAAGUCAUGGUUAAGUGGGAAACGAUGUGGGAAGGCCCAGACAGCCAGGAUGUUGGCUUAGAAGCAGCCAUCAUUUAAAGAAAGCGUAAUAGCUCACUGGUCGAGUCGGCCUGCGCGGAAGAUGUAACGGGGCUAAACCAUGCACCGAAGCUGCGGCAGCGACACUCAGGUGUUGUUGGGUAGGGGAGCGUUCUGUAAGCCUGCGAAGGUGGCCUGUGAGGGUUGCUGGAGGUAUCAGAAGUGCGAAUGCUGACAUAAGUAACGAUAAAGCGGGUGAAAAGCCCGCUCGCCGGAAGACCAAGGGUUCCUGUCCAACGUUAA
RNAcentral lists this ribosomal RNA (661 nucleotides) under Salmonella enterica. Its description in RNAcentral is "partial 23S ribosomal RNA". It matches the Rfam family "Bacterial large subunit ribosomal RNA", at positions 711 to 1368 of the family's 2925-position model. The record is from RNAcentral. Lineage: Bacteria; Pseudomonadati; Pseudomonadota; Gammaproteobacteria; Enterobacterales; Enterobacteriaceae.